RNAcentral lists this small RNA (28 nucleotides) under Bombyx mori (domestic silkworm). RNAcentral describes it as "ovarian small RNA-18318". Lineage: Eukaryota; Metazoa; Arthropoda; Insecta; Lepidoptera; Bombycidae. The record is from RNAcentral.
UAAAGCAGAUCUCCGGUAGGGAACUAUC